Molecule: ribosomal RNA, 234 nt
Filed under: uncultured bacterium
Lineage: Bacteria
Description: partial 16S ribosomal RNA
Rfam family: Bacterial small subunit ribosomal RNA
Source: RNAcentral
GAUCAUGGCUCAGGAUGAAUGCUGGCGGCGUGCCUAACACAUGCAAGUCGAGCGGCAGCGAGUUUUACACUGAAUUCUGGAAGCUUCUGGAUAAUAUAGAAGAUCUAUUCAAGGAUUUUGUGUAAAAUGUCGGCGAGCGGCGGACGGCUGAGUAACGCGUAGGAAUUUGCCCCAAAGUGAGGAAUAACUGCCCGAAAGGGUAGCUAAUGCCGCAUAUGGUCUUCGGAUUAAAGU